Long non-coding RNA from Xiphophorus couchianus (Monterrey platyfish), 622 nucleotides. RefSeq lists it as uncharacterized. NCBI's taxonomy places the organism in Eukaryota, Metazoa, Chordata, Actinopteri, Cyprinodontiformes, Poeciliidae. The record is from RefSeq and is a predicted model, not a curated record. The transcript has 2 exons.
UGCACAUAUUCAGAAUUAUAGAAAGCAGACUGUAUCCCUGGUUUCUUGUGCCUUGGUACAAGUAAAGCAGAAAUAAUAAGAUUUUUUCUCACACACUGUACUGUAGUCAAAGGUCAGAAGAAGGUUUGCUGGCUCACUUACCCGUGGAAGUCUUCUUUGUUGAGAACAGCAACAAGAAGAGCAGCAAAUGCAACAAGUUUCUUCAUCAUAAUGGAAUAACUCAAACACUAGCCAGCCUGGGGCUUUGAGAAUCUCGUCAUACUCUGUGGGGGUCUCAAGGUAAUCGCCCAGAAGUUUCUAAGUGGAAUGACAACCGACUCCUUCCCAGAGUCAUGCCUGUCCGCUCCCAAAUCCUCCAAGGAAAGGAAAUUGUCUGUGGCCCAGCAGUCGGCGCAGGACGCCAAGAAACGCUGGAUGUUUACGUUAGACAAGCUGGAUAAGAUCCAGGAGCAGAUGGAGGAGCUGAUCAUCUCCAGUUACUCAAACAGUAAGACUGAAGCCAGUCAGAAACUAAAAAAAAUAAAAUAAAAUAAAGAAACUGAAGGUACAAUUAGAAAUGUGAGAGUUAGCAGAAAGCAUUUAGAAAGACUUACUUAAGUAUAAUAAAGUAUAAUUUCCUGUG